RNAcentral lists this unclassified non-coding RNA (3452 nucleotides) under Hevea brasiliensis (rubber tree). Lineage: Eukaryota; Viridiplantae; Streptophyta; Magnoliopsida; Malpighiales; Euphorbiaceae. The record is from RNAcentral.
CGUAUACCCAAAAAUUGUAAUCAAAUCAUAUGGAGGGAGAUUCAUACAAUUUCAAAAGGGAUAAAAGAGACACAGUAAUACAAUCAUUUGCAUUUUCUGCAGAACAAGCUGCAAUUUUAUCAACAGGUGAGGAAAACCACAAAGUAAAGUAAUUAGUUAGGGGGUCAUUUUGAAUACAAUAUUCUUGGUAUACAUGUCUGGUAAAACAUAUUAAGACUGUUUUCGCUACAAAAUUACUUAGGAACCUGUACAAUACCUAAUCUUAUUAGGAAAAAAAAAAAAAAUGAAUGGCAGUAACCUACACCACCAUGAUACACAUUAGGUCUUCGAUGCAACACUUAAUUCUGCUCUCCAGCAAUAAGUAGUAGUAUAAAGAUGCUUUACAGCUAACUCUCUAUUCUCUGUACGAACAGUUCCGAGACCCGUACGAAAUAUGAGUGUCCAUCUUAAUGUACUAUCAUCACUGAUGCUUUGCCUUGCUUAAGAUCCGUAAUAAGUCUUCCGACAAAGCUUCAAAUCUAUCUAAAAGAUUUUCUCUCAAGGAUAAACCUCAACUAAUAAAUGACAAAAAUUGAUGCCUCGCCUAGACAAGGCAAAUUUUACGGAGUCUUCAUUCCGUUUCGAAAUAACUAUCAUAUAUAGAAAGUCGAUCAAAAGCAUCAAAGUUUGCCUUUAGUCCAACAAAUUGACUACUUAGUUGAGCACAACCUGCAUCUGGCCAGCGGCAACCUCCAUCCCUUGUGCGCAAUGGGCAUAAAGUUUCACACACUCUACCAAUACGAUUGUCAGAAACAUCCUCUGCCACUACUGUAAUUGAAACAGAUAAGUCCGACUUCUCAUCAUUCAGCAGAUUACCAUCAGAUUCACUUUUUGAAGAAGAACACAUGAAUUUCUGUGGAGUUGCUCUGGUGUUGCUUUCCACAUCCACAGUAGUUUCACCACUUCUUGCAAAGUGAACUUUGCAUCCCAAUGACUGGAUGGCUCUCUUUAUGGCUGCAUUUUCCUUGCUGGCCCUCUUAGCCAAGGCUGUUGCAGAGCUACUGAUCUUCUUCUCAUUCUGUAAUUCUGCAGAUAAUGACUCCAUGGCUUUUGUGAUUUCUGUAGCCUUUCUUUCUGCCACUUCUUUUGCCUGUUAGCAUUUUAAACCACCCAAUGACUAAAUAAGAAAAUAACAGCGCCAUCUUGUAAUUUGGUUGAAACUAACAAAAGGUCAACAACAGCAGUCUCCCUAAGAUUUGGUUGAACAAGCAAGCCAAUCACAUGCUAUUGGCUUUGGAAAAUAAAACAUUCCUUCUGCAGUUCUGAAAAUUUUAUGGACACGUUCCUACAUUGAGCUUCAAGUUCCCCAGCUUGCGCUUCUGAGGGACAAGCCCAUCGAAGAUGGAAUUGUGGCCAAAGAGUUGGGGCUAAGGCUGCUGCUGGGGGCAACAGUGGACCACCAUGCUCAUGUGGAUCAUAAAAAAUGUUAUAGUGUGAAUGAGAUCUCCCUUCUAAAGAACGCAAAUCAGCCAAAUAAGCCCACAUGCAUCCACAAGCUUCAGAUACACCAACUUGCUGCCUCUCUUUUUCACUGUUGCAGAAGAAGUUACCGAAACGACAUGAAAUUACAGUGUCCAAUAAAUCCACCAAGAAAGCCGAGGAAAACUCAAAAGCAAAUGGAUACAUUCGCAGCAACUGUGAGACACAAUCAACCCACUGCAAAAAUAUGGGAGAAUAGUUGUUCUGUGCAUGAGAAGAACUAGGAGUUUGAGAUGUGAAUGAUCCUGAUGACUGGCGCAUAGGUGAAGGUGGAAAACUCCCAACAGAAGACUGACGGGAUAAUUCAAGAGGCAUAUUGCCAGUUCCAGAUACAGUUGGCAUUCCCACACGAUCUGCAAAUGGAUGUCCAAAUGCUAGCCAAUCCUUUUCAAUAAGUGCCUGAAACCCAGUGAAUGUUCGGUAGUAUGGGUCAAGCAACAAAUUAGCGAGUGAUACCAGCUGAGUAGUUCUAUCCCAUCCAUCACUGCAAUGUACAAGCACUGAUGCCGACUCCAAAGCAACACGUGCAGCAAUCCAAACUGAACCAGCCAAAACACUUUGAACAUGUAUCAGCCAACCGGUGUCACCAAGGGUUGAUACUGAGGCAGACAUACUACUGAGAUUGCCCCCUCCCCAAGUCCAACCACCAUGUCUCAGAAAUGAUGAAAUUCCAUCUGAUGAAGUGGUGCCAUGAGUAUCUAAGUAGUCUCUAAGACGAGAAAGACUCUCUCUCAUUGCAUGAAUGUUGUCGAUUCCAAAGAAAACUACCUCAGAUUGAAAAUAAUUAGAAGAAGACUCCGAGCCACCUCCCAUUGCUCCAUUUGCUAAAGCAUUUUUUCUGGGCCUUGCAUCAGCUAUAUACAACUUCCUUCGGCCCCCUGCACCGGUAAGUUGAGAGCAAAGUGCUGCAACAAGCUUUUCAUCUGUGUUGUUCCUCAUAUUCAUCAUAAGACCAACCAAGGGUUGGGAUGAUCGUGCAAGAACAGCUCCGGUUCCAGGAUGACACCAAGAAACUACAGGUAAUCGACACCUGGCACGAAAGCUGGAUGCCUGGAGCACUUCUUCAUCACUAAUGGAUUUUGGAACAAGCAAGGCAAAUGGAUAACUCUGACACAUUGAAUAGUUGCAAUUUACAGUACUGAUCCUCCACAACUCAUUAGACAGUGUAUAAGAUCCAUGCUCAAUCAUAUCCAUUGAUGCACUAAGAGAGCCUUUUCCAAGAAGACGAAAAUACUCGUUCAGCAACCGCACUUUUGGGUUAGCAUUUCUGAAUUUUGAAGGUCCACAAGUAAAAGCGUAAAGAUCCCAGAGUACUGAAGGCUUCGUACACCUCAGUAAUGCAUCAAAUACAACACGUCUCUGCUUUGUUUUUGGACGGAAACCAAAGACAACUAUUCUCAUAUCUUUUCCAAUGACCUGGAGAAGUCGCAGUGACGGAGUCUUGUCUGGUUGACGGGAAGCUGAUUGAUUCUUUAUAACCAUUUUGUUGAACUUCUCAAUUGUCGCCAAUGGAAUUGUGCCAAGAGUAACGACAUUUUCAGUCCCCUCGCUCAUAAAAAUCAGACGAAAAUUCGUAACUAUCAAUGUACCAGCUUCAUCGAUAUUAACAAGAACAACUCCACGCCCCUCAACCAUAACCCGCUCAGCCUCGAGCAAACACUUGUAAUUUGCAUGAUGAGAAAUCGAGCGCGCGACAGGAUGCGGUUCCUCGAGCUUGAACAAAUCGAAGGCGUCGUCCCAGCCACCGCUGCCCUCCAUCUUCUCGGACUCGGCGGAGUAGUCUCUGAGCGACGUCGAUCGGCUCUGCUUUGGCGCAGCCAUGCGGCGGUCCGAUGAGAGAGAGAGACCGUCGUUGAAGAAUUGUGUGAUUAAGGAGAGACAGACCGAAAGAGACACGUGGGCUUCGGCUCACUUACCGUUCAAUGGGAGGAAAC